AUGAGUCACAUGCGCCACCAUCGGCGUCCUCCUCCAACAUCGCCUGCACCAAAGGAAAGCCUUUUUCUGAAGAACAUCCCUCCUACUCCUUCCUUGGCCAUGGUCUCAUGGUUGUCACCGGAGAGACAGACGCUGCUGCCGGUGCGGUGGAUUCCUGACUUCCAGACAAAAAGGGGAACUGAAGUCACUGAAACCACUAGCAAGAAAAAAGAAGUUGCUGAAAUUUUGCAACUAUUUCCGUUUCUUCAUGCUUCCGGUGGACAGAUUAUAAAACAUCAUGUGCUACCUGAUUACAUCCCACACGUGCAACGGUUUGAAAGUAUAUGUGUCACAAGCUCACUUAAAGUUCACAAAAUUUCGGUUGUCUGA
RNAcentral lists this ribosomal RNA (369 nucleotides) under Triticum aestivum (bread wheat). Its description in RNAcentral is "partial small subunit ribosomal RNA". The record is from RNAcentral. Lineage: Eukaryota; Viridiplantae; Streptophyta; Magnoliopsida; Poales; Poaceae.